This 305-nucleotide ribosomal RNA is filed under the name uncultured bacterium. RNAcentral describes it as "partial 16S ribosomal RNA". It matches the Rfam family "Bacterial small subunit ribosomal RNA", at positions 334 to 653 of the family's 1533-position model. The record is from RNAcentral.
UUAGCCUACGGGGGGCAGCAGUGGGGAAUAUUGGACAAUGGGGGGAACCCUGAUCCAGCGACGCCGCGUGAGUGAAGAAGUAUUUCGGUAUGUAAAGCUCUAUCAGCAGGGAAGAAAGAAAUGACGGUACCUGACUAAGAAGCCCCGGCUAACUACGUGCCAGCAGCCGCGGUAAUACGUAGGGGGCAAGCGUUAUCCGGAUUUACUGGGUGUAAAGGGAGCGUAGACGGCGAUGCAGGUUUGAAGUGAAAGGCGGGGGCCCAACCCCCGGACUCCUUUGGAAACUGUAUGGCGGGAGGGAAGUG